Molecule: long non-coding RNA, 428 nt
Organism: Arachis stenosperma
Lineage: Eukaryota; Viridiplantae; Streptophyta; Magnoliopsida; Fabales; Fabaceae
Exons: 3
Source: RefSeq, a predicted model, not a curated record
AACAUGGCAGGGGUUACGAAAGAGGAAGUUCGAAUUGUGGCAUCUUCCUAUCGAAUUUGUCCUUUAGGGGCUCAUAUUGAUCACCAGACUGAACUGAAGCAAUGAGGCUUGGUAUCAAUGGACCUUGGAUCACCAAAUCAUAUCUUGAAAUGAUCCUUGAUAAAAAAAAAAGAAAUGCCCUUCCUCGAUGCUGAUUGGUCACUGAUUGAGAAGACUGAAGACUAGAAGAAAUACAUUGGCACUGCAAUCAUUGCACCAAAACCAAUUCGCGCGACUCCUGACCUUGUUACCGGAGGAUUUGUCUCAGCCAUGGACUCGGUCCCUCAACUGAUCAAAUGGCUAUUUGCUCGCAAAACCUCUAUUAAAUUGUCUUUGUAAAGUUCUAGUCCAAACACAGUAGGAGGGGGGGAGGGGGGAGGAGAGUUACC